GAUGAAGAACGCAGCGAAAUGCGAUAAGUAAUGUGAAUUGCAGAAUUCAGUGAAUCAUCGAAUCUUUGAACGCACAUUGCGCCCGCCAGUAUUCUGGCGGGCAUGCCUGUUCGAGCGUCAUUACAACCCUCAGGCCCCCGGGCCUGGCGUUGGGGAUCGGCGAGGCGCCCCCCGCGGGCACGCGCCGUCCCCCAAAUACAGUGGCGGUCCCGCCGCAGCUUCCAUUGCGUAGUAGCUAACACCUCGCAACUGGAGAGCGGCGCGGCCACGCCGUAAAACACCCAACUCUUCUGAAGUUGACCUCGAAUCAGGUAGGAAUACCCGCUGAACUUAAGCAUAUCAAUAAGCGGAGGA
Molecule: unclassified non-coding RNA, 354 nt
Filed under: soil metagenome
Description: partial contains 5.8S ribosomal RNA, internal transcribed spacer 2, and large subunit ribosomal RNA
Rfam family: 5.8S ribosomal RNA (bases 1-120)
Source: RNAcentral